UACGAGUGCCUCAAGCGUUAUCCGGAAUCAUUGGGCGUAAAGGAUGUGUAGGUGGUUGUAUUAGUCUUCUGUUAAAUUCUUCGGCUUAACCGGGGGCCUGCAGGGGAAACGGUAUGACUAGAGGAUGCGAGGGGUCUGCGGAACUCAUAGUGUAGUGGUGAAAGGCGUUGAUAUUAUGGGGAACACCAAAAGCGAAGGCAGCAGACUGGAGCACUCCUGACACUGAAACAUGAAAGCGUGGGUCGCGAAUGGG
Molecule: ribosomal RNA, 253 nt
Filed under: uncultured bacterium
Lineage: Bacteria
Description: partial 16S ribosomal RNA
Rfam family: Bacterial small subunit ribosomal RNA
Source: RNAcentral